UACGGGGGGAGCAAGCGUUGUUCGGAUUUACUGGGCGUAAAGGGCGCGUAGGCGGCGCAACAAGUCACUUGUGAAAUCUCCGGGCUUAACCCGGAGCGGCCAAGUGAUACUGUCGUGCUAGAGUGCGGAAGGGGCUACUGGAAUUCUCGGUGUAGCGGUGAAAUGCGUAGAUAUCGAGAGGAACACCUGCGGCGAAGGCGGGUUGCUGGGCUGACACUGACGCUGAUGUGCGAAAGCUAGGGGAGCGAACGGG
RNAcentral lists this ribosomal RNA (253 nucleotides) under uncultured bacterium. Its description in RNAcentral is "partial 16S ribosomal RNA". It matches the Rfam family "Bacterial small subunit ribosomal RNA", at positions 524 to 776 of the family's 1533-position model. The record is from RNAcentral.